GGUGGGAGGGAACGAGCUUGGGGAGGGAAGAUUUUCCCUACAGAGCAGGUCACAUCUGGCUGUGAGCUCAGCAUCUGUCUGGUACCAGAGCCAUACCAAAGGCUUCUUAAGCUCCUGGGCCUGCCCCCAGUGGAGGCAGUGGCAGAGGAGCGGUGAGGAGGGGCUUUCUGCAGUCAUUCACUGACUGGCAGUGAGCAGAGGACUGAGGCUGUGUAGCAGCUGUGGAAGUGAGGAAGAUGAGGAGCAUACAGGGAAGUACACUUGGGAGAUUGGAGGGUCUUUGCAGUGGGAUGGAAUGAGGAUUCCUGCAACUUGAGUGUUCACAUUCAUCAGGAAAUGGUGUCAGUGGCUGUUGGCUGCCAGGAGAGGAGUAUUUUGGAUGCUCCUCCUAUUUGCCUGACUGUUGUGAGAUGCUAAAAAGGGGAAGGAAGAAAGGAAGAACAAACAUUGGCCGGGGGGGAAGCUGGCAUGGCUGGUGCUGCCCUGUGUGUCUGUACCUGUGUGACUGGCUGCAGCUGGAUGGUUGGCAAGCAGUACAGUUUGCAGAGAUUCUUGAAUUGGUCUGAUGUUCUGAGGAUGUUUAUCCCAGAACACCUGGUGUGGGCAGCCGGAUUGUAAUGGAACUGAUACCUACUUCUAUGAAAUCUGGUUGAGCUGAGGAUCUGAGCAAAUACCUUUUAGCCAGAGCAAAGCUAGGAGGAAGGUGGCAUGAAGUCCUAGAUCCUGUGCUGCCACGCUGCUCUGAAGGAACAUGUGGCCAUGCCAUAAGUCACAUGUCCUGGCAGGGAGAGCAGCAAGCAUUACUGGCUGGCAGCCCUUGCAGAAGGGUGAUGCCACAUGAAAAUCCACGUGUUCAUUACUCAUGAGUUACGUGUUUGCUGCCCAUCCUCACCUUCCCACAGCAUUAUACACACAGGGUGGUGGAGCUUUCUGUGCCUGUCCCUGGAUGUUGUGCUAUUUCCUCUUGCUGCACUUUGUUUGGGGUAACAUGUAUUGUUUCUGUUGCAGUGGGUUUCAGGAGUCACUAGCAACAGUGAUACACUGCACUAUUCCUCCAAAGACCAGUGAGGAUUUGCUUAUCCCCUAAUAUCAAUGGGAAAGCUGGUAUAUCUGGUACCUGAAGUAAUGUGAUCAGCUAGAAAACGUUAAGCAUUCCCUGAACCUGAUCCUGGGCAUUAGUUGUCAACCCCCAUCAUGACAGUGAAUUUCUGGGUUAUGCAGCCUUUCAUGGACACGUGAGAGGCGCAUAAUGGAAAGCCAUCUUAGUGCUGCAAACAGCACUACAGUCACACUCUGUUCUCGCCAGCAGCCAACCACGAUGCCUGGGAAAUUGUGCAGGUGGUUUCAGAAAAUGAUAGAAGCUUUUGAAGUUAUACCCAGGAUACUAAUAGGAAAACCUGAAGUUUUUAAGUCUGCAGACACCCAUCCCAACAGCUCCUCUGCAAGGUGAGUACAGCCAGCCUUUCUGUCACAGCAAACAUAUUUAAUCUGAAACAUUGAUUGCUGGCAGCCAGAAGGUGACCAACUGGGUCGCUGUGGUCCUCAGGGUCAUCAUUCCCACCGUCCACCUCUUGCAGAGCAUCCAGACAACGCACUGGGGAGCUCGGCGCUGCUUGCCUGCACUCAGCAGUGUGCUGUUGAAUCACUGGGCCACAAAGCAAGUGCAUGCGAGGGAGCGUGGCUGUCUUUCCUACUGGUUUGAGCAUUCACAUGGGAGUUUGAGAGUCUGGACUCUGCUCCCAGGACUGUUUAUGCAUUUUACAUGGAACAGUCACCAGGUAACAUAUAAUCCCCAAUGAAAGCCCUCAGGGGGUUCAGGCAAAGCAACGCCCAGUUUCUGGAUCCUGAUCAGAGUUAGGUGUGAAAUGGGCUGAGCUGCUUGGCCCUGUCAAGACUGGGGCAGUUCUGGGCAUGCAUGAAGGUGGAACUCUAGAUAGCUGAAGAACUUGAGAGUAUUAAAAAAAAAAAAAAGCUGGAGAUUGAAAGGGACAGACGGUGGGAAGAACCUGGGAGCUGCAGCGGGCUGUAUAUGUGGGCUUUUCGAAGUGCAGAUGUAGGGUAAAGCCUCACGUGCUCCAGUGACGAAGCCCUCUUACAGGGAAACAAUUGUUCUCGCAGAUUUCUGAAGUCGAAACUUAUUUACAUAACCAUUUCUUUUUACUGUCCUAUCCUAGUCACUGCAUUUGCUUGGAUUUCUUUCCACUAGGCUGCAUGUGCUGAGCUGCACAAUGGUGGCUGCCGUAUGAAUAGCUUGUUAUUCUUACCAAGCGUGACAACUGCUGUAGCAAAAUCAAGAGCAACCUGCUCUAAUGUAAACUGAUUUCAGAUUGCCCCCGGCAGUCCCAGCUACCUCAUCUAACCUCUUUUUUUGCCAGUCUUUUUUUUCUUCCUUUCUUUUUCUUUUCUUUUCUUUUUUUUUUUUCCUUCCCCUCGCUGAAGACACACCCAGGGCUUUCUUGUAAGGUGUUUUAUCACACUGCCUUUUCCACCAGUGUCCACAACACGCAGAGAAGCUUCUCUGGUAUUAUCCUUGAUACGUCCAGAGCCACUUGGAUUCUCCAGCAGAUGCAGAACGCAGCUGCCAGCUGUCUCCUGGGGAGAGCUCUGCAGUGGUCACUGGUUGUAUAGAAUCACAGAAUAGAAUGCAGAGCACCACAGAUGUGUGCCCGGCUCUUGAUGAGGCUGUUGCAUCUUUGAUGCCCACCUGUGUUUGGAACACGUAGGGCUCAGUAAGUUCAAACAAAGGCUUAUAUUCAGAGGGACAGCCGUGUCAGGUGGGAAACAGUUGUUUUGCUAAGAGAGUGGCAGCGGGAGGUGGGCUGGGGGCAGGGGGUGUUAUGGAAGAAGCAGUUUGAUUUGACAAUCAUAGCUGCCGGAUUGGUGUGUACGAUGGGUGUGAUAUAAAUUGCUACCUAUAAAUAAAUACCACAACAGCGUUUUAAUGAAGUGUUUUCUAGUAGCACUUGUCCAGGCUGGUUGUGUUAUGCUAAGGCUGGAGAGGUAUCUCCAAGCAAGCUCCUUGGCUAAACCUUCAUAAACAUGGUCUCACCCAAGAUCUAACUAUGAUUUGUUUGGAUAAGAGGUUUUGCUUGUUUGUUUCUGGACAUGCUUUCAAAUACAUAUGGGUUUUUACUUUUAUUUAUUUAUUUUUUGCUUCUCAGCCCGGGUUCUGUGUCGGGGUCUGCGAGACCAACUGGUGCAGGGAUUAGAGCUAAGUCUGUUACUUUCUCUGGGUGUCCACUGUGGUUCUGACCGCAGGCUUGCAGAGUGCCUGGGUCAGCUGUGGUUUUUCAGGGGGCAUCUGGGGCUGCGACUCGCUGGGGACCUGUGUCUCUGCUCAGCCUGGGAGGUAAAAAUGCCCUUGCACACCAGUGCCUUUUGGGGAGUCCUCUGUCCUUAGCUUCUCCUGGUGUGCCGGCACACCUGGCACUGCAGCCCUUGCUGCUGGAAGGCACAGCCUUGUGGAUCCACACCCCACAUUUGCAGUGUGGUUCUGCUAAGAGCCAGCAGCCAUUUUUCAUGGUAGCUAGCAGAUCUUCUGAGCCUUUGGCAGCCUGGACUGCUGUAUAUAAAUGUACGUGUAUAUAUGGUAGGGUGCAGAUGCUGAAGUAGGUGUUGCAUUUGGAGGCCAUAUGUUAUACACUGCUUCUACAACAUUUCAGGCCGAAACAAUUGUUUUAUUAGGAAGUCUCACAACAUGUCCAGUUGUCACCACAAGAACGUGUGAGAGCUGCAUAAAUCCAAAAUAAAGCCCAGAAACAGUCUUUCUCAUGCUGCCUCUGAAGUGGGGAGGUUUUGACAGUGCGUUAAAGACAGACCUCUUUUUUUUUUGCUCAGGUUGAAGAUCAGAGAGAGAAAGUUCAGUUCUUUGAUCCUCGAAGAUAAAAUCUCAGAACUGAAGUCUCUUGACUUGUGAUGUAUGCACUGAAUUCAUUCAUAUUACAAAUAAGCAAUAACUGGCAGGUGAUGCUGUGGAGAUAACAGCUUCGUUCUUUUCGAGGAAUCUGUAACCAACUCCAGCCAGGUCUCCCAGAUGAACAGCUGCUUAAAAAAAAUUAAAAAUCAUCAAAUAAUUGUGGUUGGAAAGAGCAUCUAGAGGGCUGCAGCCAACCUCCUCAAAGGGGGCUGACUUCAGCAUGAGCUUAGGCUACUUAGGGCUUUGCUGUUCAAUGUUGGAAGGUAGAGAUUUCACAAACCUCUUUGGGCACCCGUUUCAGUGCAUGUCAGCUUUCAUUUUGAAGCGUUUCUCCAGUUACAUUCAAUGGAAUUUCUCCUACUACAGCUUGCGGUCAUUGCCCUUGCACUGUGCACUGUUGAUGAGCAUCUGGUUCCGUUACAUCCUGUGCAGUGAGGGUGCAAUUGGCUGUCACCACUGCACAGCCUCACAGCUGACUCAUGAUGAGCAUUUUGUCCACUGGGACCCCAGGUGCUUUUUUCAGUGAAGCUCCUUGCUAGCCACUCAGCUCCCAUCCUCUGCUGUUGCUCAGAUUAAUUCUGUAUCGCGUGCAGAUUUUGUCUGUCUCUUUGGUAUAUUUGAGGAGAUUUCUGUAAGAUUGGUCUUUGAGGCUGCUGAAGAAUAUGUGAAUGGCUGUCCUGUCCUCCAGCAUAAUGAUCGACAGCCUGAACACAGCGUCAUGCGCAAACAUGCAGAACGUGCAUUGCAGCCUUUCAUCCAGGAUGCUGGUGAAGACAGGCCCUAGUGUUGUCCCUUGAAGAAUGCCAUUUCUUAAUGCCAAUUAAUUAAAAGUCUAGCUGUUGACCAUUACUGCCUUUUGAGCUUCACGUACUUUUUCCAGGUAUGCUGUGGGCCAUCCAUCAAGUCUGUACCACCCCAGUUUGCUUUGAACAGGAGACAGUGUUACAGGCUGUGCUAAAACCGAGAUUGUCUGAGGGUCCCUCAUUGGCUUCGUGACGGAAAGUGGUUGAUUCACCUCCACCCAGCGGUAAUUACGUGUUGCUGCCUACUGGAAGUUCUCAUGCUUGGCAUUGGACUGUUUAAAACCAUUCCCCUUUGCCCUGUCCCCCUCCUGCUUGUGAGCUCCCUUCUGGAAGGCCACAGUGAGCCUUUUCUUAAGUGAUACGUUUGGGAAACAGCACACAGAAAGUAUCCACGCAAGAAAGGCAUUCUGCAAGAAAGAGCUGCUCAUUUCCAUACGCAUGCUGCAAACUUAAACACAAUGGUCCCAUUUUAUCAUUUGUUAUUUCAACUUUGCUGAUGAUUCAGUGGUGUUAUUCCGGUGAAAAUCUGGAGAAGAGCAGUGAAUCAGCUCCCUGGCUCUGCUUCGUGCUAUCUAAAAUGAGGAUCCACCUACAGUUGGUUCCUUUCCCAAAGUUGGCCUUAAAGGACAUCCCACAUAAAUCUACUCUCAGCCAGUGCCUGCAGAUGUAGCCCUCUCCCACGCGCUUACCUCUCCUGCACCCCGUUAAUGGAUUGAUUACUGGACAGAGCCCCGCCGUGUGAUGGUGCUGGGCAUGCUCAGCAAGAAGCAGCAAUUCUUGCUUUGAGCAUCAGCCAUCACAGGAGGACCUGAGGACCUGAGCAAUGAACCGAGUGUGCAGAUGUAUUUGCAGGGUGAUGGAUGAUUGAGGUGAGAUGUCUUUGACACACUGAUGGACUGGGAGGAGGGGCUUUGCUGGAUGCCUGAUGACUGCCCAUGGGAUACAGCUGGAAAAGGUCUUUUGUUUCCUCGACGUGGUAAGAGCAUCACCUUAGGAGUGUCCCUGCUGCUGCCCACAUCCAGCAGAGCCUUGGGCCCAGCGUGGCUCAGAGCUCCACUCCCAAGCUCACAGUGCAAGCAGUGUCACACAGGCUGCUGUCCUCAGUGUGACAUCAGCACCAAUGGCACUGCUGUCCCCCAUGGAUUUGCACGAGCUUUUUCACCUUGCCAGAGGCCCCUGGGGUCUUCAACCCAGGUGUCAGCAGGUGAAGGCUGACACCACCUGCAGCUGGAAGGAGCUGAUGGUGUCGGGCUGCAGGGACAGCUGGGUGGCACCACUGCAAGAGCAGCAAGUUGCUGACCAUCCCAGCAGAGGGGGGAGGGGGACCAUGACCUGCUGAUCCCCACUGCAGGCACAGCCUCGGUGGCAAAGUUUGGCUGUAGCACAUGGGAGAUAAGCCUUGUGUGUAAUCACACCACACAGACUGCAGGAGAGAAGCAAAGGCUCCAUUCUGCUGUGACACCCAGCCCCUGCCUGCACGGAGCAGCUGUCGCUGCCAAGGAGACACCAGGUGAACUCAGGAGAAGUGAAACGUCGUGAGAAAAAAUGGGGAAUGAACCAGAGAGACAGAAUCUUACAAUAAUACCAACGUAAACACAGGCCUAGUUUUUAUCUUGUGCAGAGAGAUUGUUUUUUGAGAACAAAUGCAGAGUGAAAUGAAUUCAUAAACUUCUGUACCAGGUGCAAUCAUUAGUCAGUAAAUGAAUUACACAUAA
RNA transcript from Gallus gallus (chicken), 6434 nucleotides. It is a transcript of the gene named translation initiation factor IF-2-like, with no coding region annotated. Lineage: Eukaryota; Metazoa; Chordata; Aves; Galliformes; Phasianidae. The transcript has 6 exons. The record is from RefSeq and is a predicted model, not a curated record.